UACGAAGGGGGCUAGCGUUGCUCGGAAUCACUGGGCGUAAAGGGUGCGUAGGCGGGGCUUUAAGUCAGGGGUGAAAUCCCAAGGCUCAACCUUGGAACUGCCUUUGAUACUGGGGAUCUCGAGUCCGGAAGAGGUGAGUGGAACUGCGAGUGUAGAGGUGAAAUUCGUAGAUAUUCGCAAGAACACCAGUGGCGAAGGCGGCUCACUGGUCCGGUACUGACGCUGAGGUGCGAAAGCGUGGGGAGCAAACAGG
RNAcentral lists this ribosomal RNA (253 nucleotides) under uncultured bacterium. Its description in RNAcentral is "partial 16S ribosomal RNA". It matches the Rfam family "Bacterial small subunit ribosomal RNA", at positions 524 to 776 of the family's 1533-position model. The record is from RNAcentral.